GGUCCCGUAGCUCAGUUGGAUAGAGCAACAGCCUUCUAAGCUGUGGGCCAUGCGUUCGAAUCGCAUCGGGAUCA
This 74-nucleotide transfer RNA is filed under the name Chitinophagales bacterium. RNAcentral's name for it is "tRNA-Arg". It matches the Rfam family "tRNA". Rfam says of the family: Transfer RNA (tRNA) molecules are approximately 80 nucleotides in length. Their secondary structure includes four short double-helical elements and three loops (D, anti-codon, and T loops). The record is from RNAcentral. Lineage: Bacteria; Pseudomonadati; Bacteroidota; Chitinophagia; Chitinophagales.